AGGGAACGCGAGGCAGCGCGGCCUGGGGGUGGCGGGGCCCCGUGCGCCCUGCGCCGCCCGCGGCCCGUGGCCCGCCCCUGACGCGGCUUCCCGGGAGCCGGAAGCUGUCGGCUCCCCCCACACCCCACCCCCGUCAGACCCCAGCACCUUUUUCUUCCCUCCAAGAAGGUAUGUGAAUGCUUUCGUCACUCGUCUCCGAGAGCGGGAAUGUGAGGGAAUCUCGGUUCAUUUCUCGUGGAGACAGGGGGUCCCUUUUAAUUCCCUCAGUGCGUCAGUAUGAAAGGAGCGUGACCCAGAACAAAUCCCUUUUUUCUUUUCCUAAGCACAUGCACAAUCCCUUCCCAAAGCAGAUAAAGGAAUCAUCUUUGACCUCAACUUUUUUGGAGCUACUGUGCAGAUUCACUACAGAAAUGUGCUAUAGAAUUCCUUAAACCCUAUCCUUACCUACAAAGUAGGGGGGAGAAAACAAAAAACAAACAAACAAAACAAAACAAAAUUUAAAAAACGCUGACAAAGAGAAGAGAAUAACCAACGGGUUGUCCUGAAACCGAUAAACAACUUAAAGGUAAGAAAAGACUCAUCCUUUUACUAACUUAACCCUGGCCACCACCUCUACCACUUCUGGGUCACCCACCCCUUAUCAAAUCCUAGAUAAAAACUCUGAAAGAAGG
Molecule: long non-coding RNA, 671 nt
Filed under: Mus musculus (house mouse)
Lineage: Eukaryota; Metazoa; Chordata; Mammalia; Rodentia; Muridae
Description: long non-coding RNA chr4:108780815-108781486
Source: RNAcentral